GAUGAACGCUGGCGGCGUGCCUAAUACAUGCAAGUCGAGCGAACGGACGAGAAGCUUGCUUUUCUGAUGUUAGCGGCGGACGGGUGACUAACACGUGGAUAACCUACCUAUAAGACUGGGAUAACUUCGGGAAACCGGAGCUAAUACCGGAUAAUAUUUUGAACCGCAUGGUUCAAAAGUGAAAGACGGUCUUGCUGUCACUUAUAGAUGGAUCCGCGCUGCAUUAGCUAGUUGGUAAGGUAACGGCUUACCAAGGCAACGAUGCAUAGCCGACCUGAGAGGGUGAUCGGCCACACUGGAACUGAGACACGGUCCAGACUCCUACGGGAGGCAGCAGUAGGGAAUCUUCCGCAAUGGGCGAAAGCCUGACGGAGCAACGCCGCGUGAGUGAUGAAGGUCUUCGGAUCGUAAAACUCUGUUAUUAGGGAAGAACAUAUGUGUAAGUAACUGUGCACAUCUUGACGGUACCUAAUCAGAAAGCCACGGCUAACUACGUG
This 497-nucleotide ribosomal RNA is filed under the name uncultured bacterium. RNAcentral's name for it is "partial 16S ribosomal RNA". It matches the Rfam family "Bacterial small subunit ribosomal RNA", at positions 28 to 507 of the family's 1533-position model. The record is from RNAcentral.